AUUGAACGCUGGCGGCAGGCCUAACACAUGCAAGUCGAACGGUAACAGGAAACAACUUGCUGUUUCGCUGACGAGUGGCGGACGGGUGAGUAAUGUCUGGGAAACUGCCUGAUGGAGGGGGAUAACUACUGGAAACGGUAGCUAAUACCGCAUAACGUCGCAAGACCAAAGAGGGGGACCUUCGGGCCUCUUGCCAUCGGAUGUGCCCAGAUGGGAUUAGCUAGUAGGUGGGGUAACGGCUCACCUAGGCGACGAUCCCUAGCUGGUCUGAGAGGAUGACCAGCCACACUGGAACUGGGACACGGUCCAGACUCCUACGGGAGGCAGCAGAGGGAAAUAUUGCACAAUGGGCGCAAGCCUGAUGCAGCCAUGCCGCGGGUAUGAAGAAGGCCUUCGGGUUGUAAAGUACUUUCAGCGGGGAUGAAGGGAGUAAAGGUAAUACCUUUGCUCAUGGACGUUACCCGCAGAAGAAGCACCGGCUAACUCCGU
RNAcentral lists this ribosomal RNA (489 nucleotides) under uncultured bacterium. RNAcentral's name for it is "partial 16S ribosomal RNA". It matches the Rfam family "Bacterial small subunit ribosomal RNA", at positions 30 to 506 of the family's 1533-position model. The record is from RNAcentral.